RNAcentral lists this ribosomal RNA (468 nucleotides) under uncultured bacterium. RNAcentral's name for it is "partial 16S ribosomal RNA". It matches the Rfam family "Bacterial small subunit ribosomal RNA", at positions 28 to 507 of the family's 1533-position model. The record is from RNAcentral.
GACGAACGCUGGCGGCGUGCUUAACACAUGCAAGUCGAACGGAAAGGCCCUGCUUUUGUGGGGUGCUCGAGUGGCGAACGGGUGAGUAACACGUGAGUAACCUGCCCUUGACUUUGGGAUAACUUCAGGAAACUGGGGCUAAUACCGGAUAGGAGCUCCUGCUGCAUGGUGGGGGUUGGAAAGUUUCGGCGGUUGGGGAUGGACUCGCGGCUUAUCAGCUUGUUGGUGGGGUAGUGGCUUACCAAGGCUUUGACGGGUAGCCGGCCUGAGAGGGUGACCGGCCACAUUGGGACUGAGGUACGGCCCAGACUCCUACGGUAGGCAGCAGUGGGGAAGAUUGCACAAUGGGCGGAAGCCUGAUGCAGCAACGCCGCGUGCGGGAUGACGGCCUUCGGGGUGUAAACCGCUUUCGCCUGUGACGAAGCGUGAGUGACGGUAAUGGGUAAAGAAGCACCGGCUAACUACGUG